AAACCAGCUCUUCAAGUGGUCGGGAUAAUUAUUGGGCUUAAAGUGUCCGUAGCCGGUUUAGUAAGUUCCUGGUAAAAUCAGGUAGCUUAACUAUCUGUAUGCUAGGAAUACUGCUAUACUAGAGGGCGGGAGAGGUCUGAGGUACUACAGGGGUAGGGGUGAAAUCUUAUAAUCCUUGUAGGACCACCAGUGGCGAAGGCGUCAGACUGGAACGCGCCUGACGGUGAGGGACGAAAGCCAGGGGAGCGAACCGGAUUAGAAACCCGAGUAGUCC
This 274-nucleotide ribosomal RNA is filed under the name uncultured bacterium. RNAcentral describes it as "partial 16S ribosomal RNA". It matches the Rfam family "Archaeal small subunit ribosomal RNA", at positions 473 to 747 of the family's 1478-position model. The record is from RNAcentral.